This 71-nucleotide transfer RNA is filed under the name Loxodonta africana (African savanna elephant). It matches the Rfam family "tRNA". Rfam says of the family: Transfer RNA (tRNA) molecules are approximately 80 nucleotides in length. Their secondary structure includes four short double-helical elements and three loops (D, anti-codon, and T loops). Further hydrogen bonds mediate the characteristic L-shaped molecular structure. tRNAs have two regions of fundamental functional importance: the anti-codon, which is responsible for specific mRNA codon recognition, and the 3' end, to which the tRNAs corresponding amino acid is attached (by aminoacyl-tRNA synthetases). tRNAs cope with the degeneracy of the genetic code in two manners: having more than one tRNA (with a specific anti-codon) for a particular amino acid; and 'wobble' base-pairing, i.e. permitting non-standard base-pairing at the 3rd anti-codon position. The record is from Rfam by way of RNAcentral. Lineage: Eukaryota; Metazoa; Chordata; Mammalia; Proboscidea; Elephantidae.
GCAGUGGUGGUUCAGUGGUAGAAUUCUCAUUUUCCAUGCAGGAGACCGGGGUUUGAUUCCCGGCCAACGCA